Molecule: RNA transcript, 1781 nt
Organism: Vigna unguiculata (cowpea)
Lineage: Eukaryota; Viridiplantae; Streptophyta; Magnoliopsida; Fabales; Fabaceae
Gene name: RNA-binding (RRM/RBD/RNP motifs) family protein
Source: RefSeq, a predicted model, not a curated record
GUAUGAAAUAGAAUUGAGUGAAGUAGAAUGUCUGAUUGACUGAAUAAGGAUGAGGAGAUAGUGGCAGUGAGGAAGGAAGAAUAAGUGAAGUUUGAAGGUUGACGCAAAGGAAGAAGAAGAACAUUGAUGGCAUGCAAAGACAAGUAAGUAAUGUAAGGUAAGCUAAGAUCGACACACUGCAGAAAAGGAAAAAUGACGAUGGACGACGAUAGCUCUAUAUAUGUUGGGGGUCUCCCUUACGACAUCACCGACGAAACCAUUCGCACUGUCUUCAAUCUGUAUGGUGCCAUUCUCGAUGUGAAGAUUAUCAACGACCAACGCGGUAGGGGGAAGUGCUAUUGUUUUGUUACUUUCACGAAUCCUAGGUCAGCAAUCGACGCCAUCAACGACAUGAAUGGCAGAACCAUAGACGGGCGUGUGGUUAAAGUUAAUGGGGUGAGGUCUCGUGGGGGCAGGUCAAACUUUGGCAGAGAACGGUAUUAUUAUCACAAUGAUGAGAGGAAUGGAGAUUGGGAUCGUGGGAGAGAUCGAGACCGAGAUUAUGAUCAUGAUAAUAGUGGUAGGGAUGGAUACAGGAAUCGGAGCAAUGAUUGGAGUCGAGAUCGUGAUAGGUCUCGAGACCGAGACCGAGACCAGGACAGGGAUAGAAGAUUUGAGCAUAUGCAUGACUAUGAUGAAGAUAGAGAUCCUAUGUUAGAUAAUGACUGGAGUAGAGAGGAUGAUAGAGUUGAAAAUGAGCAAGAACAUAGCAGGGGGGAUGGUGGAGAUGAGGAUAGAGACCACAACUUGGAUUUUAACGCAGACAGGAAAACGGAUAGGACAAGUGACCCUGAUAGAAGUUUUGAUGAGGAUAGAAAAGAUCAGUCAAGGAGAAACAAUGACUUGAAUGUUACAAAUCAACAUAGCAUGGAUCUUUCAUCAGAAUCAACUGGUGCUCGCGAUGAUCAGGUAGAAGCUCAAAUAGAGAGCUCAACUAAGCAGCUUGAUCAACUUAAAAAAGAGGUUUCUCAAAUGGAAGAGGGAUUGGAAGAGAAAAGGGUUCAUGUUAAGGAAUUGCAAAAGCAAUCUAAGAAACUGGAGGAUGCACUGAUCAGUGCAAAGAAAAACACUUCAUAUCGUCAGAUGCAGUUGAUAAAGCUUCAUAAAUGUUUUCUGCAAGUGAAAGAUUACACAGAAAGACUUAAAACUAGUGAAAAGGAACUUCAGGAACUUGGGUAUUGUGGGAGUGCCCAAGUCUCACUCAAGUAAGUACCCCUUUUCGAGGCACCAACAGGUAGUCUUGCUACCAGUUGAUGAGCAUUCAAACACUUGUGGAUCCACCCUCAAAAGCUAGCCACUGAGGGGCUCUAAUUGAUACAGUACUGUUAGAGAUUGAUGGUGAUGGCGUUGGAUUAAAGGAUGGACAACUAACAAAUGGAAGUCUUGAUGCUAGGUAGUAAUCUAUAUUUGGAAGUUUCAGAUUGUGUCACUGAUGCUUAAAAUGGGUUUAGCACACAUAAUACCUUGUCUGAUAUGUUUUAUUUUUCCUUUUGUGAUUCAACAACUCUAGUUUUUACUAAAUAGCAUCAAUAGAGUUUUGCUUAUACUGUUUAGCUGUUGGGUAACUUGGUCAUAAUUAUGGAUUCACCUGUUACAAAUUCACUAGAUAAACAAAUUGCAUGUGGUACCUUUUGGACUUGUUCUAGCCAAGAAGUGUGUAGCCAUGAAGUGUGGAGACCUUAGGUCAGAGAAUUCAGUGUUAUCUUUUGUUCAUUGUUAUCUCUAUUUAACCUAAUGUCUGA